GGAGAGGUGGCCGAGUGGUUGAAGGCGCACGCUUGGAAAGCGUGUUGGGUGGAAACAUUCACGCAGGUUCGAAUCCUGUUCUCUCCGCCA
Molecule: transfer RNA, 90 nt
Filed under: Candidatus Saccharimonadota bacterium
Lineage: Bacteria; Candidatus Saccharimonadota
Also listed under: 1 other name
Description: tRNA-Ser
Rfam family: tRNA
About the family: Transfer RNA (tRNA) molecules are approximately 80 nucleotides in length.
Source: RNAcentral